This 1788-nucleotide ribosomal RNA is filed under the name Triticum aestivum (bread wheat). RNAcentral's name for it is "partial small subunit ribosomal RNA". Lineage: Eukaryota; Viridiplantae; Streptophyta; Magnoliopsida; Poales; Poaceae. The record is from RNAcentral.
AUGGGCGGCCACGCCGCCGGUCCCACCUCUUACGGCAGCAGCGGCAGGAGGAGUUUUCCGGCUCCGGCGGCGACCGCCAAGCAACGACGCGCGCCGGCGCCGGCGGGGAACGGCGGGAAGAGCGACGGAGGAGGGUACUUCGGCGCGGAGGCGGCGGUGGUGCUGGCGCUGAUGACGGCGGCGCUGCUGGUGCUGCCGCUUCUACUGCCCCCGCUGCCGCCGCCGCCGCCGCUGUUCCUGUUCGUACCCGUCGCCAUCCUGGCCGUGCUGCUCCUGCUCGUGCUCCUGCCCUCCGACGCCAGGGGCCUCCGCGUCGCGCCAUCCUACUUUGUCUCCGGAGUUGCAGUAGUAUCUCUGAAUUUUAAUCACAAGACAGUGGACAAACACAGGCCGGAGAUACUACCACAACACAAUGUUACUCUUCUGAAAGUUCAAACAGGUGACACCGAGGGGACAAAUUUCUGUGUCUCCGCGGCCGCCAACGACGACAUUUGGCCACACUGGCUCAUUACCGAGUUCCGUAUGACUGGCAGGCCCACCGUUGCCAAUUGCAUUCCCGCCGCCGCGAACGCUACAUUUUGCCUCCUUGGCUCGACCAGCAGGCCCACCGUUGCCAAGUCGCCGCCGGAGGUCAUCGCGCCGGCAGUGCCCACCCCAGGCGGCACCCUCGCGCUCUCCUCCAUUGACAGGACCGCCGGCGGCGCCGGCUUGGUUAACCUCAUCCAGGUAUUUCCCCCGCCCUCGUUCACCGCCGCCCGCAAGGAGCCGGGCACGGCCGUGGCCGCGAUGCGCGACGGGCUCACGAGGGCGCUUGCCGCCGCGAGCUGCGCGCUUGCCGACGUGGACGGCCUCGACUGCUGCCCGCUGCUCAUCCCCGGGGAGCUCCUCCUCCCGCGCCCUCCCCCCGGCGAGAAGCUCGAUGGCCUCAUCCUCAUGGUCCAGGCGACGAGGUUCACCUGUGGUGGCUUCGCCGUCGGGAUCAGCUUCAGCCACGCGGUGUUCGACGGCCAGGGCGCGGCGCAGUUCCUCACGGCGGUGGGGGAGCUAGCGCGGGGGCUCCAGGUGCCGUCAGUGACUCCGGUGUGGGACCGCGACGCGAUCCCGGACCCUCCAAGCCCGCCGCCGCCUCAGCUCACGGAGUUCAGGCUCGUGACCCAGGUGGCCGACAUAUCGGCAGAGAGCAUCGCGCGCGUCAAGGACGAGUUCAAGCAGGCUGCCGCGACAUCGAGGGGGGAGGUGUGCUCCACCUUUGACGCGGUGACGGCCGUGUUGUUCAAGUGCCGCGCGCUGGCGCUGGCGUCGGCGCUCCCUGACGAUGCCGCUGUCCGGGUCGCCUUCGCCGCCGGCACGCGGCACCUUCUCCACGGCGUGCUGCUGGCGGUGGACGGCUACUACGGCAACUGCGUGUACCUGGCGUGCGUCACUAAGGCAGGCAAGGCGGUCCGGGAGGCGUCGCUGGCGGAGGUCGUCGGCGCGGUACGGGAAGCGAAGGAGGCGGUCCCGGCGCGGUUCGCCGGCUGGAUGCGCGGCGUCGAUCACUACGACGUGCCGCUCGACUACAGCACGGUGACUGUGUCAGACUGGAGCCGCGUCGGCUUCCACGAGGUGGACUACGGCUUCGGCGCGCCAGGGUACGUGUUCCCGCUCAACGACCACGUCAACUUCGUCGCGUCGCUCAACUACGUCAGGCCGCCGGCGCCAAAGCGUGGGGGCAUACGGGUGGUGCUCCGCUGCGUCGAGGAGCCUCAUGCGGCCGCGUUCGCCGUCGAGCUCGCCAAGUUCGCCUAG